CUCACCGCUUGAGGGCACCUUCACAGACUGUUGCCGAGAAAGGGAGAUGAAAUCGGCAGGGGAGGAGGUGAGACUCAGCUUGGAUUAGGCUCGUCUUUGCUUCUGUGGGUUUACGGAUUACAUGAUUGCAGGGCGGGUUUUAUGUUCAAUACCUAUUUGAGUCAAUGUUGCACUGCGGUACAGCAUAGUUAAUAUUUUUUGUGAGUGCUGCUUCUAACAAUCAGAUCAAUACAAUUAAACUUUAAGCCAGCAGUUUUAAAGUGAAUGUCUUAAUACUUGGCACCAGAGUUGAUAGUUUAAAUCUGAUAUAUUGGAAAGAAUACAUAUCUUAGGGGAGUACUAAUGGGAAAAGAGUUGAAAUCAGGUAGACCUGAUUUGGAUAAUAAUCAGCUAGUCAAUUAGCCUGUACCGCAGAGAUCCCUACGAGACUGUAUUUGGUCCGUCUCGUACCGCAGAGAUGUCUUGGCCGUGGCCGUACAGUAACACCUUCGAGAAUCCAGAGCACUGCCCACAUAUUAUUUUAUGCUCGAGGUGCAAGGAUGCAGAUCAUUUAACUCUGAGUCUGUUCUUCUUUGCAGCUGUCCUGAAGGGUGGAUCUGACUAACGUGCUCUAGCCCUGACUUUCACGGAUUCCUUGCUGUCUGGUGCUGACACUAACUGGCGCAAACCUCCGCAGAAGCCCCUUCCCUGGACAGAAUCACAGCAAAAGCAUCCCUGCUGUUUGUCACCUCUGUUUGGAUCCACCUGGCUUUUCCUUGGUUCUGAUAAGGGGUCUAGUUCAGCUGCUGCUCCGGCUCCUGAAUUUGUUGAGUCAUUUCCCGUCAAGUCAAAGAGGUCCCGACUCAACACGUGCUCAGUGGUAGGCAUCGCUUUGCAUUUGUGCUCCGAGUGGAGUUAGUUGUUUUUCCAUGCACGUUGUCACCAUCUUUGAGUCAUUUAGGUGGUUGAGUCAUUUAGGGUCCGUUUAAUUUGGGAGCGUCAGAAUCAGCUACUUUGCCAAAUCUGAAAGUAAAUCCUUGUAUUUAUUUUCUCCUUUGCCACAGGCAGCUGUGUCACCUCGUGCAAAGGUGGUACCGCUGGUCCUUCGUUCUGUUAAUGCAGGGAGGACGAUAGCAUUAUCUUCGCCCAGGCUUAUGGAUGUCAGCUGUCAAGUCCCUUAAUUCCGGAAGAACCUCCAGAGAACUGGCCACAUGCAGUGAGAUGUUGGAAAAGGGAUUUCUAGAUGGUUGGCUUACCCAUCCCUGUGUGAAAGGUUGGGUAUAAAAUUCUAUCAGCCUGCCUUCGUCAAACCCAUCACUUCUCAUAGCAUUCAAAAAUGUGAAUUUCAAUAUUUAAAAUUUCAAUAUUUGCGGUUUUUGAGAUAGGCAAACAU
This 1372-nucleotide long non-coding RNA is filed under the name Sus scrofa (pig). RNAcentral describes it as "lncRNA (ENSSSCG00070015843.1)". The record is from RNAcentral. Lineage: Eukaryota; Metazoa; Chordata; Mammalia; Artiodactyla; Suidae.